AACGAACGCUGGCGGCAUGCCUAACACAUGCAAGUCGAACGAGACCGUCGGGCCUAGUGGCGCACGGGUGCGUAACGCGGGGGAACCUGCCCUUAGGUUCGGAAUAACGCGCCGAAAGGGGUGCUAAUACCGGAUCAAGUCCUCGGACCAAAGGUUUGUCGCCAUCGGUUGCGCCGUCGUUGGUUUAGCUGGAUGUUAGGGUAAACGCCUCCCAGGGCGUCGAUCCAUAGCUGGUCAGUGAGGAUGAUCAGCCACACUGGGACUAAGACACGGCCCGGACUCUUACGGGAAGCGGCAAUGGGGAAUAUUGGACAGUGGGCGAAAGCAUGAACCAGCUAUGCCGCGUGAGUGAUGUAGGCCUUAGGGUAGUAAAGCACUUUUACCCGGGAUGAUAAUGACAUUACCGGGAGAAUAAGCUCCGGCUAACUCCGUG
RNAcentral lists this ribosomal RNA (433 nucleotides) under uncultured bacterium. Its description in RNAcentral is "partial 16S ribosomal RNA". It matches the Rfam family "Bacterial small subunit ribosomal RNA", at positions 29 to 507 of the family's 1533-position model. The record is from RNAcentral.